GAAAAAAUUAGAGUGUUCAAAGCAGGCAGAUCCAAUUUUCUGCCACCGAAUACAUUAGCAUGGGAUAAUGGAAUAGGACCCUGUCCUCCUAUUUUCAGUUGGUUUGCCGCGAGGACCAGGGUAAUGAUUAAUAGGGAUAGUUGGGGGCAUUAAUAUUUAAUUGUCAGAGGUGAAAUUCUUGGAUUUAUGAAAGAUUAACUUCUGCGAAAGCAUCUGCCAAGGAUGUUUUCAUUAAUCAAGAACGAAAGUUAGGGGAUCGAAGACGAUCAGAUACCGUCGUAGUCUUAACCAUCGACCAGCGAUUAGGAGACGUUGAAUACAAAACACCACCAUGCGCAUUGCGGUCGUCUUUGGUGUCGCUCACAAGGCGGCACCGGGGCGGCUUAGCUCGCAUGGCACCGGUGAAUGACUCCCUAGCAGGCU
RNAcentral lists this ribosomal RNA (423 nucleotides) under Acanthamoeba sp. RNAcentral's name for it is "SSU rRNA". The stretch from base 1 to 358 matches the Rfam family "Eukaryotic small subunit ribosomal RNA", at positions 759 to 1114 of the family's 1831-position model. The record is from RNAcentral. Lineage: Eukaryota; Discosea; Longamoebia; Acanthamoebidae.